UGAUGUUUACAUCCCAGGUAGCUAGCUAACCAGUAGCCACAUUGCAACAUGGAGGACUUCACACAGCACACACUUAUUUUUGGUGGAGAGGGAGUAAGAUUACUACAAAGGAGCAUGCUGACAGACCAGGAAGAAAGCUGUUGUUGCACGGCAGAGGAGUAAUUAAUUGACACGUCACUGAUUGGGACCUGGGAGUUGCUUGCACCUGUUCUUUAUUUAAAGUCAAUGCCAGAAGCAGCACGCCAUCGACGUGAGCUGGGAGCAGCGAGGCUGCAGAGCCGGAGCUGAGGUGACUGAGGAGAACGUGUGCUGUUGCUGGAGCAGACCGGGACCAGUGUUGAAACUGAGCAAGAAGGCCUUUCUGGGAAUUGGGAGGGUGAACGCUUCACCCUUCCCAAAAGCUAAGUACUGCUCCAUAUUCCAUUUCCAACAUUUCACCUGCUAGCACUUCCUGCCAACAUUCUCUACUGCUUUGUGUGCUACACACAGCCAGUACAGUAGUGCGCCUACUGUGAACCAGAGAGGAGGUAUUUUGGGAUACUGGAAGGGUGAAGCACAAUUCGGGGCGAAUUCCUUUCGAUCGCACUCGACAAGUCAUUAUCGAUUAUAGUGACUUUUCUUCCUGAACACUCACUGCUCACAUCUGAACUAUUUGAGUCACUAGUGUCCCCCCAACGACAAUAGAAAACCUUAACUUUCGUGACUAGAUAACAUUACUUGAGCCACUAUCCCCUGCCUCCAUUUAGUUUGGUUUAAAUUACUGUAUCAAGCCUUUUUGAUUUCCCAUUUAAGUUUGUUUAAAUCUAUUUACUAUUUCCCCAUGACCUUUAUACUCCUUUCAUUAGUUCUAUUGUGGCUUAUUGUAAUUUUGUUUAAUAAUUUUUGGAGAGUUAUUGUGGAGUUUUAUUGUAAUUGGCCCUACAGCAUUUCAGCACAAUCUGCUGACAGAAUCUUUCUUUCACUCAGUACAACACAACCCAGGAGAGGACUGCUGCGAACACUGGCUUGGAUCCCUCAGCGAGCCUGCAGUGGUGUGACCAUGGAACAGUCCUCAAAGACUUUUUAAAAUAGGACUUUUCCCAUUUGAUCUUUUUGGACUUGUCCACUUGGGACUUUUAGCUAUUGUUAAAUAAAUAAUGUAUUUCAAUGGCCA
Long non-coding RNA from Coregonus clupeaformis (lake whitefish), 1153 nucleotides. RefSeq lists it as uncharacterized. Lineage: Eukaryota; Metazoa; Chordata; Actinopteri; Salmoniformes; Salmonidae. The transcript has 3 exons. The record is from RefSeq and is a predicted model, not a curated record.